This 253-nucleotide ribosomal RNA is filed under the name uncultured bacterium. RNAcentral describes it as "partial 16S ribosomal RNA". It matches the Rfam family "Bacterial small subunit ribosomal RNA", at positions 524 to 776 of the family's 1533-position model. The record is from RNAcentral.
UACGAAGGGUGCAAGCGUUAAUCGGAAUUACUGGGCGUAAAGCGUGCGUAGGCGGUUGGCUAAGUCAGAUGUGAAAGCCCUGGGCUCAACCUGGGAAUGGCAUUUGAAACUGGCGAGCUAGAGUGUGAUAGAGGAUGGCGGAAUUCCCGGUGUAGCGGUGAAAUGCGUAGAGAUCGGGAGGAACAUCCGUGGCGAAGGCGGCCAUCUGGAUCAACACUGACGCUGAGGCACGAAAGCGUGGGUAGCAAACAGG